UCCGCGGUAGCUCAGCGGUAGAGCAUCCGACUGUUAAUCGGAUGGUCGUAGGUUCGAAUCCUACCCGCGGAGCCA
RNAcentral lists this transfer RNA (75 nucleotides) under Hyphomicrobium sp. RNAcentral's name for it is "tRNA-Asn". It matches the Rfam family "tRNA". Rfam says of the family: Transfer RNA (tRNA) molecules are approximately 80 nucleotides in length. Lineage: Bacteria; Pseudomonadati; Pseudomonadota; Alphaproteobacteria; Hyphomicrobiales; Hyphomicrobiaceae. The record is from RNAcentral.